UUUUGUUCUUUUUCAUAAACCCUUUCACCGCCAAAGACGUCACAUGACGCGCGCGGCUACAGUCCAAUAUCAACCUUCCUUCACCCCGACAAGGUUCACGAUUACGCGCCGCACAUGAUAGGCGUGGCGUCCAAACGGGUGUCCAUAUAAAGUUAUUUGGCAUUAUUCGUGUCCAUAUUAUUAAGUACCUAUGUAAGUAGUUGGAAGAACUAUACCUGGCACAAUACAAGAUCUGAUUUAAUCUUUGACUAGUCUUCAUUAUAGAAAUAUUAUCGUUCAUAUUUUAUUUGAAACGUUAGGUAAAUAAUUCAUGUCAAUGGUACGGUCAAAAUAUUAAAUUAAUUUGCAUCUUGUUACUUUUGUUUGGGAAAUUGAUAAAAUUGUAAAUAUUGUAUAAUUUUGCCAGCACCUCACACAUACAAGCAUACCUACGUCUCAAAAAUACCUACUGAGUAGGUUUAGCAAGACUCAGAGAAACGACCCGUUGUAUUUAAGUGUUUGAAUUAGAAAGGUACGGGUAGUCAACCUCGCGCGCUAGAUAUUGUCGCGGUGCACUCAUGCUAAGCCUAUUUGAUUAUCUAAUUUAUUCAUCCAAUUUGUGUAAUUUUAAAACUCAAUUUGGGGAAAAUAGUAAGUAGGUACCUUCAUUGUAUUCUUUCGAAUUUUGACAUUUAUUUGGCAUUAUUCCCAAAAAACGAUCAGCGGUAGCUAAUUGUAUGAGAAAGCAAUUAUUAUACCUUAUUUUUUACUUAAGUUCUUAAGCUAACUGUAUUAAAGACAUUAAAUGUAAACUGGCAAUUUAAAAAUCGGCUACAUGUCAACUGGGGUUAAAAGAUACGAAAGGGGCAAACCAAACAUAUUAAUAACGGGUCACUCACGUAUUUUAAGUCGAAAAACGCUCGACAUGUUUCACUCCGUACCGAGGAGCGUCAUCAGGAGCUUGUUGGAUUGAUGACGCUUAGCUUAGAAAGGGGCAAAAUCUAUUCACCCCCUGUUGCAUUCACCCCACCCCCAGUUGACACAUCCGUUUCAUAUAAGAAAUAAAAUUAAUGGUGACAUAUAACUUCGAAUAUAAAAAAGUGAUAAUUAGUUAAGUAACUAUGUAUUAUAGAAAAACAAAUGAUUAAUACAAAAUAUUUACUUAA
This is a long non-coding RNA of Cydia strobilella, 1145 nucleotides long. RefSeq lists it as uncharacterized. The transcript is spliced from 2 exons. NCBI's taxonomy places the organism in Eukaryota, Metazoa, Arthropoda, Insecta, Lepidoptera, Tortricidae. The record is from RefSeq and is a predicted model, not a curated record.